Molecule: long non-coding RNA, 361 nt
Organism: Phoenix dactylifera (date palm)
Lineage: Eukaryota; Viridiplantae; Streptophyta; Magnoliopsida; Arecales; Arecaceae
Source: RefSeq, a predicted model, not a curated record
UUUUGUCCAAUCAAAUAACAGGAAUCAAAGAGUCUGACACUGGUUUAGCUGCACCCAGCCAAUGGGAUUUAGUUUCUGACAAGCAAAUGAUGCAAGAAGAGCAACCUCUUCAGGUUGCAAGGUGUACAAAGAUUAUUAAUCCGAACACUGAAGAUGCCAAAUAUGUGAUAAAUGUAAAGCAAAUAGCCAAGUUUGUGGUUGGCUUGGGUGAUAAAGUCUCACCAACUGAUAUAUGAUACUUAUCCAAUAUGGACACAACAUUCAGUUUGGAAUAUUCAUCUUAGUAGUUUAUCUGUAAAUAAAGUUUACUGUUUGACUUUUUUUAGUUUUAUAAUUCGGUAGAAAAUACUUAACCUCACUC